RNAcentral lists this ribosomal RNA (480 nucleotides) under Triticum aestivum (bread wheat). RNAcentral's name for it is "partial small subunit ribosomal RNA". Lineage: Eukaryota; Viridiplantae; Streptophyta; Magnoliopsida; Poales; Poaceae. The record is from RNAcentral.
GCUUCCAGAUGGGUUCCACCACGAGAAGGAAGUGUGAAGAUCAAUGUAGACGUGGGAGUUUCGGAAGGGACAAACACGGGGACGGCAGCAGCUGUAUGUCGGAACCGGGAUGGUGUUUAUUUGGGCUCAUCAAUGUUGGUAAUUCAAGGGCUAACGGAUCCAACUACACUAGAGGCAAUCACUUGCAGAGAGGGUUUGUCUUUGGCGCAGGAUCUUGGAGAGAAUCGUCUACAGAUCGCUUCGGAUUGUAAGCAGGUAGUAAACCAUAUCCAUCAAAGAGCGGGAGGCGAUCAUGGCACUAUUAUUAGAGAGAUCUUACAAACUUCUACUUUAUUCACGUCUUUUGAACCUCGAGAGUCGAAUUAUGAGGCUCAUAGAUUAGCCAGGUUUGGUGUCUCGCUCCCUGCUGGGAGGCAUAUUUGGUUGGGCAUCCAGCAUGACCCAAUUGUAAUACCUAUGCACAUUUCAGUUGAUCAAUAA